UACGUAGGGUGCAAGCGUUACUCGGAAUUACUGGGCGUAAAGCGUGCGUAGGUGGUUUGUUAAGUCUGAUGUGAAAGCCCUGGGCUCAACCUGGGAAUUGCAUUGGAUACUGGCAGGCUAGAGUGCGGUAGAGGGUAGUGGAAUUCCCGGUGUAGCAGUGAAAUGCGUAGAGAUCGGGAGGAACACCAGUGGCGAAGGCGACUACCUGGACCAGCACUGACACUGAGGCACGAAAGCCAGGGGAGCAAACGGG
RNAcentral lists this ribosomal RNA (253 nucleotides) under uncultured bacterium. RNAcentral's name for it is "partial 16S ribosomal RNA". It matches the Rfam family "Bacterial small subunit ribosomal RNA", at positions 524 to 776 of the family's 1533-position model. The record is from RNAcentral.